UACACUUUUGUGUUUGGAAUCAAACUUGUUUAAGUUCUCUUUAGUGCUCAAAAUAAAACAAGAAGAACCAAAAUGAUGAAAAUAUGAAAUGUUGGGUUUUCUGUUUUUCCAUAGUUCACAAGGAGUCUUACCUAGAAAAUAUAUUAUAAAGAUUAUAUUCUGAAUGUAACAUAUUAUGUUGACUACUUCUACCCAUAAUUA
This 201-nucleotide long non-coding RNA is filed under the name Lathyrus oleraceus (garden pea). Its description in RNAcentral is "Pisum sativum (pea) long non-coding RNA (PSAT_LNC024885)". The record is from RNAcentral. Lineage: Eukaryota; Viridiplantae; Streptophyta; Magnoliopsida; Fabales; Fabaceae.